This 600-nucleotide ribosomal RNA is filed under the name Aerococcus sp. I10B-00258. RNAcentral's name for it is "bacterial SSU rRNA". It matches the Rfam family "Bacterial small subunit ribosomal RNA", at positions 93 to 680 of the family's 1533-position model. Lineage: Bacteria; Bacillati; Bacillota; Bacilli; Lactobacillales; Aerococcaceae. The record is from RNAcentral.
UAGCGGCGAACGGGUGAGUAACACGUAAGGAAUCUACCUAUAAGCGGGGGAUAACAUUCGGAAACGGGUGCUAAUACCGCAUAAUAUCUUCUUCCGCAUGGAAGAAGAUUGAAAGACGGCUCUGCUGUCACUUAUAGAUGACCUUGCGGUGCAUUAGUUAGUUGGUGGGGUAACGGCCUACCAAGACGAUGAUGCAUAGCCGACCUGAGAGGGUGAUCGGCCACAUUGGGACUGAGACACGGCCCAAACUCCUACGGGAGGCAGCAGUAGGGAAUCUUCCGCAAUGGGCGAAAGCCUGACGGAGCAAUGCCGCGUGAGUGAAGAAGGCCUUCGGGUCGUAAAACUCUGUUAUAAGAGAAGAACAAAUUGUAGAGUAACUGCUACAGUCUUGACGGUAUCUUAUCAGAAAGCCACGGCUAACUACGUGCCAGCAGCCGCGGUAAUACGUAGGUGGCAAGCGUUGUCCGGAUUUAUUGGGCGUAAAGGGAGCGCAGGUGGUUUCUUAAGUCUGAUGUGAAAGCCCACGGCUUAACCGUGGAGGGUCAUUGGAAACUGGGAAACUUGAGUACAGAAGAGGAAUGUGGAACUCCAUGUGUAGCG